UACGUAGGGGGCGAGCGUUGUCCGGAGUUACUGGGCGUAAAGCGCGCGCAGGCGGUCUGCUAAGUUUGGAGUGACAGUUGGUGGCUUAACUGCCAAAGUGCUUCGAAAACUGACAGACUUGAGGGCUUCAGAGGGACACGGAAUUCCGGGUGGAGUGGUGGAAUGCGUAGAGAUCCGGAGGAACACCAAAGGCGAAGGCAGUGUCCUGGGGAGUACCUGACGCUCAGGUGCGAAAGCCAGGGGAGCAAACAGG
Molecule: ribosomal RNA, 253 nt
Filed under: uncultured bacterium
Lineage: Bacteria
Description: partial 16S ribosomal RNA
Rfam family: Bacterial small subunit ribosomal RNA
Source: RNAcentral